This 301-nucleotide ribosomal RNA is filed under the name uncultured bacterium. RNAcentral's name for it is "partial 16S ribosomal RNA". It matches the Rfam family "Bacterial small subunit ribosomal RNA", at positions 509 to 807 of the family's 1533-position model. The record is from RNAcentral.
CAGUCGCCGCGGUAAUACGUAGGUGGCAAGCGUUGUCCGGAAUUAUUGGGCGUAAAGGGCUCGCAGGCGGUUUCUUAAGUCUGAUGUGAAAGCCCCCGGCUCAACCGGGGAGGGUCAUUGGAAACUGGGAAACUUGAGUGCAGAAGAGGAGAGUGGAAUUCCACGUGUAGCGGUGAAAUGCGUAGAGAUGUGGAGGAGCACCAGUGGCGAAGGCGACUCUCUGGUCUGUAACUGACGCCGAGGAGCGAAAGCGUGGGGAGCGAGCAGGAUUAGAUACCCCCGUAGUCCCUGUCUCUUAUAC